This 492-nucleotide ribosomal RNA is filed under the name uncultured bacterium. RNAcentral's name for it is "partial 16S ribosomal RNA". It matches the Rfam family "Bacterial small subunit ribosomal RNA", at positions 29 to 507 of the family's 1533-position model. The record is from RNAcentral.
AGUGAACGCUGGCGGUAGGCCUAACACAUGCAAGUCGAACGGCAGCACAGUAAGAGCUUGCUCUUACGGGUGGCGAGUGGCGGACGGGUGAGGAAUACAUCGGAAUCUACUUUUUCGUGGGGGAUAACGUAGGGAAACUUACGCUAAUACCGCAUACGACCUACGGGUGAAAGCAGGGGAUCUUCGGACCUUUCGCGAAUUCAUGAGCCGAUGUCGGAUUAGCUAGUUGGCGGGGUAAAGGCCCACCAAGGCGACGAUCCUUAGCUGGUCUGAGAGGAUGAUCAGCCACACUGGAACUGAGACACGGUCCAGACUCCUAGGGGAGGCAGCAGUGGGGAAUAUUGGACAAUGGGCGCAAGCCUGAUCCAGCCAUACCGCGUGGGUGAAGAAGGCCUUCGGGUUGUAAAGCCCUUUUGUUGGGAAAGAAAAUCAGCAGGUUAAUACCCCGCUGUUCUGACGGUACCCAAAGAAUAAGCACCGGCUAACUUCGUG